Long non-coding RNA from Sarcophilus harrisii (Tasmanian devil), 816 nucleotides. Lineage: Eukaryota; Metazoa; Chordata; Mammalia; Dasyuromorphia; Dasyuridae. The record is from Ensembl.
GUCUGAAUCUGGAAUGAGCUGAGGAAGGGUUGGGAAUCAUUAUUUCAAAAAGUUAGAAUUCUGAGAUGCCCAUCAACUGUCACCUAGCUGGAGAUCUGAAUCCUGGUGUUUGCUGGGACCAUUUUACGUCACAGGUGAUGGAAAUUCAAAAUAAAAAUAUUAUGGCUCUAAAAGAGAGAUGGAUUGACAGAUACUCAGUGAUAGGAGCUGGUAAUUGUGAACUUGGAAAGUUCUGGGACAAAGGAUCUUACAGAAGACACAAAAUAAAGGAACAAGAGUCAAUCCAAGAGGACAAAUAGAUCAGGAUUGCUUAUUAUACCCAUGUCAGGUCCAUGAUAAGAAUGGCAGUGAAAUAGGAAACUAAGCUGAAUUUCAGCCAACUAGGGUUUAUCUAAAGGAGCAAAAAGGGGAAAACUACCAUUGGAUCUGCCCCUUGAACAGGAUCAUCAUCACAGAUAAGCAAAUCAGUGCCUAGCUUGCUGUGGAAGUUUGUGAGGAAGUCAAAGAAGAUAAACUAACAGCUCUUUAGACCCUCUCAGAAGAAUAAUAACAAUGUUUAUAUAGCAUUUUAAAGUAUUAUCUUCUUUGAUACUUACAACAAUCCUUUGAGAGCUGUCACAGGAGUCUUUUAGCAUUCCUGUAUUUCUGUCAAAGGAUAAAGUUGGGGACCACAUCAAUAUUACUUCAUGGCAUCUAUGGUCUAAGAGUCACAACCAGCUGACCUUCCAUGAAACAGUUUCAGAAAGAAGACCCUGCUAUUGAUCACUACUACUUCCUGCCUUUCUACCAUUAAAGUCACUUCUUAUAUGAGCUCAA